Long non-coding RNA from Rosa rugosa (rugosa rose), 662 nucleotides. RefSeq lists it as uncharacterized. The transcript has 4 exons. The record is from RefSeq and is a predicted model, not a curated record. NCBI's taxonomy places the organism in Eukaryota, Viridiplantae, Streptophyta, Magnoliopsida, Rosales, Rosaceae.
UCCAAGCAUCUCUUCCUCUCUCCCAAGUCUCAAAACUUGAAACCCAGCAAAUUUUUUCUUUAAAUUGGUUUCAAUGGUUACUCAAAUCUUUAAUUCAUUCUCAUCCAUCACCCAAUCUUUCUCCUCUCUAUGUUUAUGUUAUUCUACGGUGAUCAUACGAAUUUUUCAGCUUAAUUUCCAUGAAUGUAGGCUGAGGUACAAAUCAAAAUAGAUGCAAUUGGAAGUUGGAGUUGCAGGUCAAUCUCGAUUAGAAAAGAAAGAACAAGAAGGAAAAAAGCAAAUUCCAAAUUUACAGAAGUUGGAUUUGCAAGUCAAUCUCGAUCAGAAAAGAAAAAACAAGAAGGAAAAAAGUUGUUGGCCAACUUUCAGUUUGAAGCUUCAGUAAGAUAUCAUAUUUGGCUCGGGACUACAAUGCUAUUUUGUGCUACUUUUCAUGUUGUAAGCACCUUGUUCAUUUGGGGGGUCAGCCAUCAUAUUCAAGAUGAGAAUAUUGGACGAAUAUAUCUAUAUGGUUUCCUUGUUGAAGCAUAUACUUCAUAGAGGACGACCACGAGUAAGUGUAUAUUAUAUAAUGGGAAAAAAAUACAAACAGUACCCAACCUAUGGCCGACUCCGAAUUUCUGUACCCAAAUUUUCAAAACUAUCACUUUGGUACCUGAAGU